RNAcentral lists this ribosomal RNA (790 nucleotides) under uncultured Staphylococcus sp. RNAcentral describes it as "bacterial SSU rRNA". It matches the Rfam family "Bacterial small subunit ribosomal RNA", at positions 129 to 905 of the family's 1533-position model. The record is from RNAcentral. Lineage: Bacteria; Bacillati; Bacillota; Bacilli; Caryophanales; Staphylococcaceae.
CCUAUAAGACUGGGAUAACUUCGGGAAACCGGAGCUAAUACCGGAUAAUAUAUUGAACCGCAUGGUUCAAUAGUGAAAGACGGUUUUGCUGUCACUUAUAGAUGGAUCCGCGCCGCAUUAGCUAGUUGGUAAGGUAACGGCUUACCAAGGCAACGAUGCGUAGCCGACCUGAGAGGGUGAUCGGCCACACUGGAACUGAGACACGGUCCAGACUCCUACGGGAGGCAGCAGUAGGGAAUCUUCCGCAAUGGGCGAAAGCCUGACGGAGCAACGCCGCGUGAGUGAUGAAGGUCUUCGGAUCGUAAAACUCUGUUAUUAGGGAAGAACAAAUGUGUAAGUAACUAUGCACGUCUUGACGGUACCUAAUCAGAAAGCCACGGCUAACUACGUGCCAGCAGCCGCGGUAAUACGUAGGUGGCAAGCGUUAUCCGGAAUUAUUGGGCGUAAAGCGCGCGUAGGCGGUUUUUUAAGUCUGAUGUGAAAGCCCACGGCUCAACCGUGGAGGGUCAUUGGAAACUGGAAAACUUGAGUGCAGAAGAGGAAAGUGGAAUUCCAUGUGUAGCGGUGAAAUGCGCAGAGAUAUGGAGGAACACCAGUGGCGAAGGCGACUUUCUGGUCUGUAACUGACGCUGAUGUGCGAAAGCGUGGGGAUCAAACAGGAUUAGAUACCCUGGUAGUCCACGCCGUAAACGAUGAGUGCUAAGUGUUAGGGGGUUUCCGCCCCUUAGUGCUGCAGCUAACGCAUUAAGCACUCCGCCUGGGGAGUACGACCGCAAGGUUGAAACUCAAA